GACGAACGCUGGCGGCGUGCUUAACACAUGCAAGUCGAACGGUAAGGCCCUUCGGGGUACACGAGUGGCGAACGGGUGAGUAACACGUGGGUGAUCUGCCCCGCACUUCGGGAUAAGCCUGGGAAGCUGGGUCUAAUACCGGAUAGGACCACUGCCUGCAUGGGUGGUGGUGGAAAGCUUUUGCGGUGUGGGAUGGGCCCGCGGCCUAUCAGCUUGUUGGUGGGGUGAUGGCCUACCAAGGCGACGACGGGUAGCCGGCCUGAGAGGGUGACCGGCCACACUGGGACUGAGAUACGGCCCAGACUCCUACGGGGGGCAGCAGUGGGGAAUAUUGCACAAUGGGCGCAAGCCUGAUGCAGCGACGCCGCGUGAGGGAUGACGGCCUUCGGGUUGUAAACCUCUUUCAGCACCGACGAGGCGCAAGUGACGGUAGGUGCAGAAGAAGGACCGGCCAACUACGUGCCAGCCGCCGCGGUAA
RNAcentral lists this ribosomal RNA (478 nucleotides) under uncultured bacterium. RNAcentral's name for it is "partial 16S ribosomal RNA". It matches the Rfam family "Bacterial small subunit ribosomal RNA", at positions 28 to 523 of the family's 1533-position model. The record is from RNAcentral.